CGAAGGGUGCAAGCGUUGCUCGGAAUUAUUGGGCGUAAAGGGUAGGUAGGUGGUUACGUAUGUCUGGGGUGAAGUCCCUGAGCUUAACUCAGGAAGUGCCUUGGAAACGGCGUAACUAGAGUACUAGAGAGGUUCGUGGAAUUCCCGGUGUAGCGGUGAAAUGCGUAGAGAUCGGGAGGAACAUCAGAGGCGAAGGCGGCGAACUGGAUAGUAACUGACACUGAACUACGAAAGCGUGGGUAGCAAACAGGAUUAGAUACCCUGGUAGUCCACGCUGUAAACGAUGGGUACUAGGCUUCGUGGGAGUUGACCCCUGCGGAGCCGGAGCUAACGCGAUAAGUACCCCGCCUGGGAAGUACGGUCGCAAGACUA
This 372-nucleotide ribosomal RNA is filed under the name uncultured organism. Its description in RNAcentral is "bacterial SSU rRNA". It matches the Rfam family "Bacterial small subunit ribosomal RNA", at positions 526 to 896 of the family's 1533-position model. The record is from RNAcentral.